This 1540-nucleotide ribosomal RNA is filed under the name Escherichia coli. Its description in RNAcentral is "bacterial SSU rRNA". It matches the Rfam family "Bacterial small subunit ribosomal RNA". Lineage: Bacteria; Pseudomonadati; Pseudomonadota; Gammaproteobacteria; Enterobacterales; Enterobacteriaceae. The record is from RNAcentral.
AAAUUGAAGAGUUUGAUCAUGGCUCAGAUUGAACGCUGGCGGCAGGCCUAACACAUGCAAGUCGAACGGUAACAGGAAGAAGCUUGCUUCUUUGCUGACGAGUGGCGGACGGGUGAGUAAUGUCUGGGAAACUGCCUGAUGGAGGGGGAUAACUACUGGAAACGGUAGCUAAUACCGCAUAACGUCGCAAGACCAAAGAGGGGGACCUUCGGGCCUCUUGCCAUCGGAUGUGCCCAGAUGGGAUUAGCUAGUAGGUGGGGUAACGGCUCACCUAGGCGACGAUCCCUAGCUGGUCUGAGAGGAUGACCAGCCACACUGGAACUGAGACACGGUCCAGACUCCUACGGGAGGCAGCAGUGGGGAAUAUUGCACAAUGGGCGCAAGCCUGAUGCAGCCAUGCCGCGUGUAUGAAGAAGGCCUUCGGGUUGUAAAGUACUUUCAGCGGGGAGGAAGGGAGUAAAGUUAAUACCUUUGCUCAUUGACGUUACCCGCAGAAGAAGCACCGGCUAACUCCGUGCCAGCAGCCGCGGUAAUACGGAGGGUGCAAGCGUUAAUCGGAAUUACUGGGCGUAAAGCGCACGCAGGCGGUUUGUUAAGUCAGAUGUGAAAUCCCGGCUCAACCUGGGAACUGCAUCUGAUACUGGCAAGCUUGAGUCUCGUAGAGGGGGGUAGAAUUCCAGGUGUAGCGGUGAAAUGCGUAGAGAUCUGGAGGAAUACCGGUGGCGAAGGCGGCCCCCUGGACGAAGACUGACGCUCAGGUGCGAAAGCGUGGGGAGCAAACAGGAUUAGAUACCCUGGUAGUCCACGCCGUAAACGAUGUCGACUUGGAGGUUGUGCCCUUGAGGCGUGGCUUCCGGAGCUAACGCGUUAAGUCGACCGCCUGGGGAGUACGUACCGCAAGGUUAAAACUCAAAUGAAUUGACGGGGGCCCGCACAAGCGGUGGAGCAUGUGGUUUAAUUCGAUGCAACGCGAAGAACCUUACCUGGUCUUGACAUCCACGGAAGUUUUCAGAGAUGAGAAUGUGCCUUCGGGAACCGUGAGACAGGUGCUGCAUGGCUGUCGUCAGCUCGUGUUGUGAAAUGUUGGGUUAAGUCCCGCAACGAGCGCAACCCUUAUCCUUUGUUGCCAGCGGUCCGGCCGGGAACUCAAAGGAGACUGCCAGUGAUAAACUGGAGGAAGGUGGGGAUGACGUCAAGUCAUCAUGGCCCUUACGACCAGGGCUACACACGUGCUACAAUGGCGCAUACAAAGAGAAGCGACCUCGCGAGAGCAAGCGGACCUCAUAAAGUGCGUCGUAGUCCGGAUUGGAGUCUGCAACUCGACUCCAUGAAGUCGGAAUCGCUAGUAAUCGUGGAUCAGAAUGCCACGGUGAAUACGUUCCGGGCCUUGUACACACCGCCCGUCACACCAUGGGAGUGGGUUGCAAAAGAAGUAGGUAGCUUAACCUUCGGGAGGGCGCUUACCACUUUGUGAUUCAUGACUGGGGUGAAGUCGUAACAAGGUAACCGUAGGGGAACCUGCGGUUGGAUCACCUCCUUA